GUACGGGAGGCAGCAGUAGGGAAUAUUGGUCAACGGACGCAAGUCUGAACCAGCCACGCCGCGUGCAGGAAGAAGGUUCUUUGGAUCGUAAACUGCUUUUAUCAAGGGAUAAAGAGAGGCUAUACGCCUAAAUGAAGGUACUUGAUGAAUAAGCCACGGCUAACUACGUGCCAGCAGCCGCGGUAAUACGUAGGUGGCAAGCGUUGUCCGGAUUUACUGGGUUUAAAGGGUGCGUAGGCGGUUUAAUAAGUCAGUCGUUAAAGACACAAGCUUAACUUGGGCGUGGCGAUUGAUACUGUUAGACUUGAAUAAUUUGGAGGUAGCUGGAAUGCGUAGUGUAGCGGUGAAAUGCUCAGAUAUUACGCAGAACACCGAUUGCAGAGGCAGGUUACUACGAAUUUAUUGACGCUGAGGCACGAAAGUGUGGGUAGCAAACAGGAUUAGAUACCCUGGUAGU
This 457-nucleotide ribosomal RNA is filed under the name uncultured bacterium. Its description in RNAcentral is "bacterial SSU rRNA". It matches the Rfam family "Bacterial small subunit ribosomal RNA", at positions 339 to 794 of the family's 1533-position model. The record is from RNAcentral.